Molecule: ribosomal RNA, 589 nt
Filed under: Bradyrhizobium sp.
Lineage: Bacteria; Pseudomonadati; Pseudomonadota; Alphaproteobacteria; Hyphomicrobiales; Nitrobacteraceae
Description: bacterial SSU rRNA
Rfam family: Bacterial small subunit ribosomal RNA
Source: RNAcentral
AACGUACCUUUUGGUUCGGAACAACACAGGGAAACUUGUGCUAAUACCGGAUAAGCCCUUACGGGGAAAGAUUUAUCGCCGAAAGAUCGGCCCGCGUCUGAUUAGCUAGUUGGUGAGGUAACGGCUCACCAAGGCGACGAUCAGUAGCUGGUCUGAGAGGAUGAUCAGCCACAUUGGGACUGAGACACGGCCCAAACUCCUACGGGAGGCAGCAGUGGGGAAUAUUGGACAAUGGGCGCAAGCCUGAUCCAGCCAUGCCGCGUGAGUGAUGAAGGCCCUAGGGUUGUAAAGCUCUUUUGUGCGGGAAGAUAAUGACGGUACCGCAAGAAUAAGCCCCGGCUAACUUCGUGCCAGCAGCCGCGGUAAUACGAAGGGGGCUAGCGUUGCUCGGAAUCACUGGGCGUAAAGGGUGCGUAGGCGGGUCUUUAAGUCAGGGGUGAAAUCCUGGAGCUCAACUCCAGAACUGCCUUUGAUACUGAGGAUCUUGAGUUCGGGAGAGGUGAGUGGAACUGCGAGUGUAGAGGUGAAAUUCGUAGAUAUUCGCAAGAACACCAGUGGCGAAGGCGGCUCACUGGCCCGAUACUGACGC